AGCGAACGUUAGCGGCGGGCCUAACACAUGCAAGUCGAGCGAGAAAGGUGGCUUCGGCCAUCAGUAAAAGCGGCGGACGGGGUGAGUAACACGUAGGUAAUCUUCCCUUGAGCGGGGGACAACGUUUCGAAAGAACGCUAAUACCGCAUACGUUUCCAGGGACUCUGGUCUUUGGAAGGAAAGCUAGGUCGCAAGAUCCGGCACUCGAGGAGGAGCCUGCGUCGCAUCAGCUAGNGGUGGGGUAACGGCCUACCAAGGCGAAGACGCGUAGCUGGUCUGAGAGGAUGAUCAGCCACACUGGGACUGAGACACGGCCCAGACUCCUACGGGAGGCAGCAGUGGGGGAAUAUUGGACAAUGGGCGCAAGCCUGAUCCAGCCACGCCCGCGUGAGU
Molecule: ribosomal RNA, 393 nt
Filed under: uncultured bacterium
Lineage: Bacteria
Description: bacterial SSU rRNA
Rfam family: Bacterial small subunit ribosomal RNA
Source: RNAcentral